RNAcentral lists this ribosomal RNA (465 nucleotides) under uncultured bacterium. Its description in RNAcentral is "partial 16S ribosomal RNA". It matches the Rfam family "Bacterial small subunit ribosomal RNA", at positions 28 to 507 of the family's 1533-position model. The record is from RNAcentral.
GACGAACGCUGGCGGCGUGCUUAACACAUGCAAGUCGAACGGAAAGGCCCCUUUGGGGGUACUCGAGUGGCGAACGGGUGAGUAACACGUGAGUAACCUGCCCUUGACUUCGGGAUAACUUCAGCAAACUGGGGCUAAUACCGGAUAGGAAUCCUUUCUGCAUGGUGGGGGUUGGAAAGCUUCGGCGGUUUUGGAUGGACUCGUGGCUUAUCAGCUUGUUGGUGGGGUAGUGGCUUACCAAGGCUUUGACGGGUAGCCGGCCUGAGAGGGCGACCGGCCACAUUGGGACUGAGAUGCGGCCAAGAGUGCUACGGGAGGCAGAAGUGGGGAAUAUUGCACAAUGGGCGGACGCGUGAUGCAGCAACGCCGCGUGGUUGAUGACGGCCUUCGGGUUGUAAACCGCUUUCAGCAGGGGCGAAGCUUGUGGUGACGGUACCUGCAGAAGAAGCAACGGCUAACUACGUG